This 321-nucleotide non-coding RNA is filed under the name Lachnoclostridium phytofermentans. RNAcentral's name for it is "Clostridium phytofermentans T-box sequence". It matches the Rfam family "T-box leader". From Rfam's summary of the family: Uncharged tRNA acts as the effector for transcription antitermination of genes in the T-box leader family. Lineage: Bacteria; Bacillati; Bacillota; Clostridia; Lachnospirales; Lachnospiraceae. The record is from RNAcentral.
AAAAAUACUUGGAAAAGGAAUAGUAACCGUACUAGGAUUUUCAGAGACUUGCUGGUUGGUGCGAAGCAAGAAUCAAAAUAGGGUGAACUCGCCUUGGAGUAGCUGACUGAAAAAUUACAGUAGGUUAAGCCGGAAUCCCACCGUUAUAAGGGAUAGAUAUUGACCAUAAAUGAUGUAUCGAAGGAACACGUAAGAGUGGUAUAGCAGAGUAACUUCUGUCUCUUUGGAGGCAGAAGUUUUUUUAUGGAAUGUAUCGAUAAAGUGCAUGCUUUUGGCAUGAAAAAGAGUGGUACCGCGGAAAUCCCCCAAUUCGUCUCUUAA